RNAcentral lists this ribosomal RNA (858 nucleotides) under Janibacter sp. 52NP14. Its description in RNAcentral is "bacterial SSU rRNA". It matches the Rfam family "Bacterial small subunit ribosomal RNA", at positions 75 to 948 of the family's 1533-position model. The record is from RNAcentral. Lineage: Bacteria; Bacillati; Actinomycetota; Actinomycetes; Micrococcales; Intrasporangiaceae.
CUUGCUUCGAGGGGAUCAGUGGCGAACGGGUGAGUAACACGUGAGUAACCUGCCCCGGACUCUGGAAUAAGCGCUGGAAACGGCGUCUAAUACCGGAUACGAGACGCAACCGCAUGGUUAGCGUCUGGAAAGUUUUUCGGUCUGGGAUGGACUCGCGGCCUAUCAGCUUGUUGGUGAGGUAAUGGCUCACCAAGGCGACGACGGGUAGCCGGCCUGAGAGGGCGACCGGCCACACUGGGACUGAGACACGGCCCAGACUCCUACGGGAGGCAGCAGUGGGGAAUAUUGCACAAUGGGCGAAAGCCUGAUGCAGCGACGCCGCGUGAGGGAUGACGGCCUUCGGGUUGUAAACCUCUUUCAGCAGGGAAGAAGCGAAAGUGACGGUACCUGCAGAAGAAGCACCGGCUAACUACGUGCCAGCAGCCGCGGUAAUACGUAGGGUGCGAGCGUUGUCCGGAAUUAUUGGGCGUAAAGAGCUUGUAGGCGGUUUGUCGCGUCUGCUGUGAAAAUCCGGGGCUCAACCCCGGACUUGCAGUGGGUACGGGCAGACUAGAGUGUGGUAGGGGAGACUGGAAUUCCUGGUGUAGCGGUGAAAUGCGCAGAUAUCAGGAGGAACACCGAUGGCGAAGGCAGGUCUCUGGGCCACUACUGACGCUGAGAAGCGAAAGCAUGGGGAGCGAACAGGAUUAGAUACCCUGGUAGUCCAUGCCGUAAACGUUGGGCGCUAGGUGUGGGACUCAUUCCACGAGUUCCGUGCCGCAGCUAACGCAUUAAGCGCCCCGCCUGGGGAGUACGGCCGCAAGGCUAAACUCAAAGGAAUUGACGGGGGCCCGCACAAGCGGCGGAGCAUGCGGAUUA